Non-coding RNA from Gasterosteus aculeatus aculeatus (three-spined stickleback), 88 nucleotides. The record is from the annotation of a RefSeq genome assembly. NCBI's taxonomy places the organism in Eukaryota, Metazoa, Chordata, Actinopteri, Perciformes, Gasterosteidae.
GUCAGGAUGGCCCUGGAGAGUGGUCAAGGCGCCAGACUUAGGUUCUGGUCUCCAAUUGGAGGCGUGGGUUCGAACCCCACUUCUGACA